This 492-nucleotide ribosomal RNA is filed under the name uncultured bacterium. RNAcentral describes it as "partial 16S ribosomal RNA". It matches the Rfam family "Bacterial small subunit ribosomal RNA", at positions 29 to 507 of the family's 1533-position model. The record is from RNAcentral.
AGUGAACGCUGGCGGUAGGCCUAACACAUGCAAGUCGAACGGCAGCACAGUAAGAGCUUGCUCUUACGGGUGGCGAGUGGCGGACGGGUGAGGAAUACAUCGGAAUCUACUUUUUCGUGGGGGAUAACGUAGGGAAACUUACGCUAAUACCGCAUACGACCUACGGGUGAAAGCAGGGGAUCUUCGGACCUUGCGCGAUUGAAUGAGCCGAUGUCGGAUUAGCUAGUUGGCGGGGUAAAGGCCCACCAAGGCGACGAUCCGUAGCUGGUCUGAGAAGAUGAUCAGCCACACUGGAACUUAGCCACGGUCCAGACUCCUACGGGAGGCAGCAGUGGGGAAUAUUGGACAAUGGGCGCAAGCCUGAUCCAGCCAUACCGCGUGGGUGAAGAAGGCCUUCGGGUUGUAAAGCCCUUUUGUUGGGAAAGAAAAGCAGCAGGUUAAUACCCCGCUGUUCUGACGGUACCCAAAGAAUAAGCACCGGCUAACUUCGUG